UACAGAGGUCUCAAGCGUUGUUCGGAUUCAUUGGGCGUAAAGGGUGCGUAGGCGGCGCGGUAAGUCGGGUGUGAAAUCUCGGAGCUUAACUCAGAACGGCCAAGUGAUACUGCAGGGCUAGAGUGCAGAAGGGGCAACUGGAAUUCUCGGUGUAGCGGUGAAAUGCGUAGAUAUCGAGAGGAACACCUGCGGCGAAGGCGGGUUGCUGGGCUGACACUGACGCUGAAGCGCGAAAGCUAGGGGAGCGAACGGG
Molecule: ribosomal RNA, 253 nt
Filed under: uncultured bacterium
Lineage: Bacteria
Description: partial 16S ribosomal RNA
Rfam family: Bacterial small subunit ribosomal RNA
Source: RNAcentral